Raphanus sativus (radish) is the source of this 1663-nucleotide long non-coding RNA. RefSeq lists it as uncharacterized. The transcript has 4 exons. The record is from RefSeq and is a predicted model, not a curated record. Lineage: Eukaryota; Viridiplantae; Streptophyta; Magnoliopsida; Brassicales; Brassicaceae.
CGCAGAGUUUUUGAUUCUAUGGUUUCAUCCCAUUAUCUUCUCCGCACAAAAUUUAGGGUUCAUGUUCUUCUUCCACCUGAAUCGAAAAGGCUUCUCAUUCGAUCUCAGAUACCAUGGAGUUUUGAGAUUUACAAUCCACGUGAUGAUUCGCUGUGUAGAUCUUCAAUCUUGACGUUUUGCCUUCUCUUAUAUCAACGGAAACGUCAACCGUUACACGUUCUUUAAUGCAUUUUUACUCCCUGCUCUAUCACUCGGAAUGUGUAUAUAUAUUUCUUGGAAAAUUGAUAUUUCUUGGAAAAUCACUUUGAGAUUUCCUAUUAUUAAUUUAUAGUUUCUAAUUGCUUUGACACUGAUUUCUGAUUAAGCGAUUCCUUUAAUCUUUUAUUACUUUCAUGUUUCCAGUUAUAUAAAGUGAUUACUCUCUUUCGCUUCUCUUCUUUCCAAUUUUUAAAAUCCCAGGACAUGGCGAUGAGGUUCGAUCGGUAUGAUCAGCUCCACAGGGACCUUCACGCCGCUCUCGCAACCACCAAAUGGCAGAUGAGUUCCGACGAGCUGUUCAGUCUAGCUACGACAAUGGUUUGAAAGGCGAAACUCGAGACAGGCAUCGUGAGUUUACUUUCGCUAUGGAGACUCGGGUUGUGAAGAUAGAGAAGUCUCUCAGAGAAGCUAGCAAAGGAACUCCGAGACAGGUUUGUUUGGACGAAGAUGAUCAAGGUGAUCAUAAUUAGCUUCCCCUUUCCUUGGCUGGACCAUCUUACCAUGAAAGGAAAAAACUUUCCAAAAGUAAAUCAGCUUACGGCGAGUGCUACUGAUGAGAUCAGUGCUUAGGUCAUCAUUUGUCCAACCUCCAGAAAGCAUUGGCGAGCCAAGUGUCCGACCUCCACUAAAAGUUCCCAGCUUCUCUGGCUUCUUGAACUAUAUGGAGUCUGGCUCCAAAAAAUCCGUUAGAAAGUUGAAGACGUUAGAUCGUCAAGGAGACUCUGAUUUCUUACUAAGCAAGAUCUUUCAACUGCGAAGAGGAUUGUUAUAAAAAGACACAUAUGGAGCAAUGCAGAGGCAAUCAAAAUGGUUUCAAUGUCAAAUUCGUAGCAGAUUCGUUCAAGCUGCAAUUUAAAUUCUUCUUGGACGUGUUCUUAUAAUAUAUCUUCUCUUUGCAAUUAGACAUGUGAAAUAGAAACCAACGCUUAAGUAUUAAGAUAUCCUGUUUGUCAUUGCAGUAGUUGUGGAAGAUCACAUAUGUAGAAAAAGAUAGGUAUGGAGGACCACUUAGAGGUCAUUCGUAUUCUGUAUACCGAGUCUAUCAACUGAUACAUUUGGCACCAUCUACAUUUUUAACCAACGAUGUUUGACGAUGAGAUUCAAGGAGAAGAAGCUUCAGGACCUUCUCUAGCUAGAAAGAGAAGAAAAGAAACUAAAAGACCAAGCUCUGCUCUUUCACCAAAACCAAAAUAUAGGAAUUCUUUAUCCUAAAAGAAGAUGAUCAUGCGCAAUGCAAUUGUUUCUGUAAAUUUGAAGGCACAGAAAGUAACACUUGAAACUCGUACGUGUUAUCCACGUGAAAUAGCCGAGUGUAUCUUGGUUCUUUUUUGUAUUUAAUUCAGCUAGAGUUACAAUAUGUGUUUGUUUAAGACUUUUAGUGCAAGUUGUUUUCUCUUCUCUGUUA